RNAcentral lists this small RNA (714 nucleotides) under Pongo abelii (Sumatran orangutan). Its description in RNAcentral is "retained intron". Lineage: Eukaryota; Metazoa; Chordata; Mammalia; Primates; Hominidae. The record is from RNAcentral.
UUCCGAGGAGGCGGGGCUGGGGCGGGCGCAGGACUGCAGGCUGGGGCUCCGCCACCCGGCGCGAGCCCGCGCGUGGUUCCCAGCGAAGUCACCGGGCGGCUGGGCCCAUCGUGAGUAUUCUCCGCCCGCUGUCCUCCCCCUGCAGGCGGCAGCGCCCGUUUAUUUGAGGAGGAUGAGGCUCUCACUACUACAGUUGGGACUGUUUCAUACUCCGUGCUCUUGUGCUUAUGCCAGGGGGUACUGUCUAACCCACAAGUCUCUGCCAGGAAUGUUGCUGUCCACACUGGAGUGUAAGACACCUGCGGAGCUCGUCUAUGGGGCUCAUGUUGGCUGAGGCUCUGAACUACAGAAUUGCAAACAUCCAAGGGAGCGCCCCAGGCCCCCAGGCUUCUAAUGUGAGGAAAAACACGGAAUGACAAGUGUGGGAAAGAGCAAGCACUAAAUUACUGUCAGAAAAAUAAACGGAGUAGCACAGUGGUGCUCAGUGAUUUACGGGGGCAAUUAGUCACCACCCCACGGCGCUGCUGAGGACAGCACGGCAGCAGACGAGUCAGGCCCACGAGGAAGAAGAGUCUUUGCACUGCUCUCCAGACAACUUUUCAAACAACAAGAGAGGAUAUUUGAGCACAUUAGGUUUUGUGUCUUCAUUCUGGGUGCCUACUCUUCAUAUUAUUCUACCAACUUAAUACAUAAACAUAUUUUUAGCACAAUAUG